Molecule: long non-coding RNA, 2743 nt
Filed under: Diabrotica virgifera virgifera (western corn rootworm)
Lineage: Eukaryota; Metazoa; Arthropoda; Insecta; Coleoptera; Chrysomelidae
Description: uncharacterized LOC126884685
Source: RNAcentral
UACUUUUAGCAAGGAAUUGUUUAGAUGAAUAAAAAAAAACAACUUUGUGAUUAUUUAAAAAAAUAAUAAUUUAUUAACGAAUUAUUACAGGACGUACAUACUACAACAUAUAAUUAUAAAAAAGAUACUUUUCGUGCUUUUGGAUUUGCAAAAUCUUGAUAAUAUCACUUACUUCAAUUUUUAUUUCAUGCUCAAUACUUACUAGUGAUAAAUUUGUCAAUCCACUUUGCGACAAUGUUGAUCUUAGAUAAUUUUUAAUUAUUUUUAAUUUAGAAAAUGAUCUUUCACUGUGCGCUACUGUCACUGGCAAUGUGAGGAAAAUUCUAAGAGCAGUGAACAAAUUUGGGAAGACUGAAAGUACAGUAAAACCUCCGUUAACCGAAACCUUUUUGACCGAAACAUCGUUUAACCGAAAUGGAUGACAGUUCAAUAAUUUCAUCAAUAAAAAGUAAAUUUAAAAACUGCAAUAAAAUUAAGGAAAAUGAACAUGUUUAUGAGUGUUUUUUUAAAGAAAUAUUCUAUUAUCUUUUGUGUUUUUCUUUGACAACGAUGUUUUACAGCUCUAUCUCUACAAUACUAUGUAAUUUGAUACAAGAAGAAUACAAACAACAAUGUUAUUUUUAAGCGAAAUUCUUGUUAUCCGAAACGGCCUUCCCCAAUUAUUUCAGUUAACGAAGGUUUUACUGUAAAUUGUUUGUAUUCAAGUACCUACUUUAAAAUAUCCAAAGGUGUAGUAGAAUCAUCAAUAAACAUUGGUAAUAAUUAUAUUUCAUUAAAGAGCUCAAACCUAUCUACUUAUGAGGAGCCAACAUCACAAUUUAUUUUCUAAAUUAAAACAAUAUGCUCUUUUUGUAUCUAACUCUGAAUCCUUCCAGUGUUUUAAUUUUUGAAGGAACGAAAAAUGUUGAUUCAAACGAAUCAAAAGAUUGCCGGUCCUCCGUUGGACGGACAGUCGGGCGGGCGGCAAUCUAUAAAUCGCGCUUAAGUACCAAUGUAAUUUUUCAUUAAUCGUUUUAAAGCAUAUUUUAUGUUGAAACAAAGUAAAGGACCCGCUCUUUGGCGCUCGGCGCCCCCAACGUCCCGGCGCCCGUGUGCACCGCACACCCUGCACAAUAGGUAAAGCCGCCUCUGUACCUCAAGUAAGUUGUCAUUCCAUCGUUUUCUUGGUCUCCCCACUGAUCGUCUUCCUAUUGAGGAACCGUUACUCACCAUCUUUACUACAGCUCCCGGAACGAACCAUGGCCGGUGACAAACGCUGUUGUCGGUCGUAUACUCACCUAAUCUUAACGCAGCCAGGGUUUCUCUCACCGGUCAUGGCUCGUUCCGGGAGUUGAACUCUAUUUGUUCGCAUUCGGCUUAUAUGAUCGUUCCGUUCCAGUCUUAUAUUUCUUGCCCAGCCCUUGAUGUUGUCACUCGAGUCUAGAUCCCGAGCCGAGGAUUAGCGGCGUGUAAUUUGUGUUGCCUAUAUAAACUUGAAUCGCGAAUGUUUAUUAUUCAAAAAAUUACAACUGUACAAAUCAAUGACAUUUGUGUGCAUUUUUUUGGCAUGAAAGUUUAAACUUGGCUUAUGUCUAAAUUUAUAGACGUUGCCUUUAAGCACUUUUAAAGGGGCAAUUGCAUCCAAUUUGUCGGGAUGCGAACUUUUUACAUGUCUUUUUAAAUCAUGUUUACGUUUAUACACGUUUCCGCAUUCCAAGCACUUAUUAAUUAUUUCCACACCGAACAUUUUCGUUGUCAAGAAAAUGAAAUACCUACUCAAAAGCAAACACAAACACAGAACUGUGAACAGUAGAAAUGAUUGAAUCGGAAAAUUGAUCUAACAGCUUCACUGUUCAAUUGAUAAUUAUACAAAGAGUCUACAUUCUACCACAUCAAAUACUAUUUUAAUAUUAAAUAUCAUGCAACCGCAGUAAAUAUCGGUUUUUGCCUGAAAGGAGGAAGACCUAACCCUUCGGUCCAAACCUAACUUACGGGUAUUAGAGUGAGAGAACCGCAGGGCAGGAGGUAUUUGACCGCUGCGCGCAAUCACAACCCACCCUUUUUAUUAUCACUAAACGGUCUUUUCAGCGUUUUAAAUAACACUCAAGGCCCAUUUCGUUGAUUCAAGUUUAUAUAGGCAACCCAAAUUACACGCCGCUAAUCCUCGGCUCGGGAUUUAGACAGAAUAGAUGUUGUCAACCUUGCAUGUCCGUCGUAUAUCUUACCCAAGGUUCAUAGAUAGGGGUUUGGUUAUCUCAUAACUAUGUGGGCGGAAGCGAGAGGGAGGGGAAUGCCUACGUCACUCGUACGACAAAGUCAAGUUUGACAGUUGUAUGUGGUUAUAUUUCCGCAUAUUUUUGUGGAAUUUUCUUAUAAUAUCGUUUAUUUGUUUAAUAUUUGUUGAGUUUUUAAGCAUAUAAGGACUAUAUUACUAUAAUUACUUAUUUGGGUUCUAUACAAAGGCAGUAAUGACUUGUGAAGUGUGUUUUCGUAACCGUGUAAGAUGAGUGGUGGUAACAUUUGUAGCAUAGCUAUAUGUAAAAGCAACUCCAAAAUUCCUGAACCAGAUCGAAACAAAAUAAUGUUUUUGGACAUUUCCCAAAUACCUUAAAUUAUCAAACAAUAAUGGAUAAUAAAAUGUUACAAGAUAAAUGGGCCUCUAAACAUAAGAAAAUAGGUAGCAAACAUUUCCUCGUGUCUGAAUAUGUUAAUAUUAUGUUACGUCUUUUUUAUAUUUUAACCUAAUAAUAAAUUAUUUAUAUUA